Mustela lutreola (European mink) is the source of this 1365-nucleotide long non-coding RNA. RefSeq lists it as uncharacterized. The transcript has 6 exons. Lineage: Eukaryota; Metazoa; Chordata; Mammalia; Carnivora; Mustelidae. The record is from RefSeq and is a predicted model, not a curated record.
UCCAGAGGGUCCAUAGAGGCCGCCUCCGCCUCUGCGCUCCGCCGAGGUUUCCGGCCUGUCUAGGGGGUGGGUCGGGGGACCCGCCGGCCAACCUAAGGGGAUCCGGGCCAGUGAAAAUUCUCUCGGAGCAGUGGCGCCCAGCUGAGACGCACCAGCUUCAGCAGGAAUAACUAUGGCCUGGGCUACAAGCUAUACAGGGAAGGUGUCCCCUACAGGGUGUAUGAGUACCAAAGGAUCCCUCCGCUCAUCCAUCGUGUGCCUGUCAAGAUCCGGAGGACCCAGGUGGGCUUGGGGGUCAAGAGCAGCUUCAGUCCCCACAAGGGCACCAGAAAGAGCCACCUGCCCCGAGAGCAGAUAAAGCUCCAGACUGAGGAGCUGCACUCCAUCAGGGGCGAGCUGAGCCAGAUCAAAGCCCAGGUGGACCGUCUCCUGGAGAAUCUGGAAUGCAUGGACCAGCAGAGGGACCAGCUUCCGGGUGGAACACCAACUGUGGACCCAGGCCACAUUCCCAGGUCAGAGGACAGUGAAGAAACCAAGGGCCCAGGCAGUAAGGGUUCCUCAUGCAGAAUCACUGACCCCCAGCAGGAGCUCAGGGGCCAGAGCGCCCAUCCGGAAUCAGACAGCGAUGAGGAGAGCGCAGACCCGGAGGAGGCGGGGAAGAACCAUGCAUCAGACCUGGAGGGCAGCCAGUAGAAGGGUGGAACCCCUCCGGGCUCCUUCCCAAGUGGCUCCUUUGCUUGCCUCGUGUGGAUUCCUGAAAGCCUCUCGAAGGAGACUGUGCCGCCAGAGGCACCUGUUCUAGAAUGAGCACAGUGAAAGUGGAAGCAAGGCUCAGCCAGACCCGCCAGGAAGCCUCCCCCAUUAAUGGUGGCUUUUGCUUUGGAGGUCGUUUCCAGAUGAUAGGGGCCAAGAGGGAGUCCUGCAACUGCCUUAGCACAAGCUCACUGCGCUCACGAAGCUGAGGCCGUCUUGCAAGGGGCAGCUGCCCAGUCCCCCCUUGGACACACGUCAGCUCCCGGGGACAGCAGGUACUGCGCUGGCUGCUCUUCCCAUCCCCCUGCCGGUUCCCAGUGUGGCGCGUCCCGCAGCGGCCAGCCAGUGGUGCCCAGGAAACUCAUGUGCCUACAGUCCCCCUUCCAGUCUGAAAGGGAACUUUAAGUUCCUCAGCGUGCGCCCCCACAAAGCCCCCUCUAGUUCCAGACUCCUCACCUACCCUAUAAAGCCAUCCUUCAGAAUAGGGGUAUCAUUUUCACAUCCUAUUUCUAUCUUGUCUCUUGCUGGUGUGAUACUAUGUACUUCAGAUUGGCUCUGGAAAUACUAUUAUGUCAAAAGGGCAGAAAUAAAAUUUGUAUUUCUUUUCCCUUG